This is a long non-coding RNA of Alligator mississippiensis (American alligator), 5329 nucleotides long. RefSeq lists it as uncharacterized. The transcript is spliced from 3 exons. NCBI's taxonomy places the organism in Eukaryota, Metazoa, Chordata, Crocodylia, Alligatoridae. The record is from RefSeq and is a predicted model, not a curated record.
GCUUGCCAGAUAAUUAAAGAUUCCAUUUAGCAGUUCAUCAUUGGAUAUCUCUGAGAGACACCUCUGUCUAUAAAUAGUUUAACAACUUCCGCCUAAGUCGGAGACCUCUGCGGGAAUCUCUAAGGAGAAACCUAAGAUCAUCAUCAGAGUAAACUGACAGUCUGAUCAGCUGUCAAUAGCUUCCCGUCAGCGUAAAUAUUGACGUAUCAAAGUCCUGCAGGCACGAUAGCUCGUUCCCGGCGCCACGUCCGUCAUCGUUAGCUGUAACCCGAAACUGUACGCUUGAUCGUAAUCGUUGUAUCGUUAGCUGCAACCUGAAACCAUAUGUUUGAUUAUAAAUCGCUAUAACCGGAAAAACUGCAACAGAACAAAGGCUCAGCCUACGUCGCGCAUCACUAUCUGAGCGACACCCGGGCCAUCCUCAGCUUCUCAGAGUCUCAAGUAAUCCCAGUACAGUUCUGUCAUCUCUGCUCUGCAUCACUGUCUCCAGCCAAUCCUGCUGGCAUCUGUUUUGCCCUCACCUACGUGCUGGCCCAGGAUGCUUCAAAGUCAUAACUGCAAGGAACAGCACCCAAAACACCGAGAAGACCUUGUGAAGUGCAACUGGUAAAAGCAGCAUACUGAGGGCAAUCAGUGCCCUGGCACAGUGACAAGUAGCUGGUUAAUAUACAUUCAAAAGACCAGAGGAAAAAAAACCAUGCUCCUAUGGGCGUUUAUACACAUGCUCUGGGGGGGCGUAGAGGGUGCUUUAAAUUAGCGCAGAUUCAAGAACCAUGCUAAUUAAAAGUGCCUGGAGCAUCACAUGCAUCAGUGCCCCCACGCUGAAAAAUGGCAGUGGGGCACUUUGAACAAACUAUAGUUCAAAGUGUCCCACCGCCGUUUUUCAGUGUGGGGACUGAUACACAUGACGCUGGAAAGCAUCAAUUUCCAUACUCAGAAUUACAGUGUGUUGGAGCAGGCUCCCUACAUGUGUAUAGGAUGGGGUGGGCCUGCGCGCCAGAUUCAGCCCACCAGGCACUUUCAUCCAGCCCACAGCACCUACCAAUGGAUUAUACCCCACCCAACCCUUCUGUCCAUGAGGAUGGGAAUGAAGCGCCCACGUAUACACAUGCCCCCAACAUACCCUAUUGCACCUUGUUCCCACCCUCCUGGGCAGAAGGGCCUGGCCCAGUCAGCAGACAGCUUCCAAGUGCGGCUGUUGCUGUUGCUGCCACUGCUGCAGGUGCCAGGAACCUGCUUGGCUUCCCUGCGUGUCCUGCUCACUCUGGGCAGCAAGGUAGGGAAGCAGUAGGGGCUGCAGCUGGGCAGCAGCAUGGAGCCCAUGCUCAGGGGGCAGCAGCAGUACAGAGCUUGGGUGGGCAGUGUGUGGGUGUGAGGAAUGUUGGGGAAGGGACUUCCAGUGGCAAAGGUGGGGGGAGGGGGGUCACGGAUGGGACCUCUGGUCCCAAGAUGGUAACCAGAGGGUGGGGCAACUGUCAAGGGGUGGGGCUACCUAUGCAGCCCUUGAAAGCUCACCAAACCUCAUUCAGUGGCCCUCCACCUGAAAUAAUUGGCUGCCCCUAGUAUAGGAGCCCUGUGCGUCUGAGGAAGGCAGAUCCCACCAGAGUCCAUGGAAAUCCAACCUAGGAAAGAAAUUCUAUCCUCACCCCAAUUUUGGCAGUUGGUAUGACACUAAAUGGAAGUGUAGGAACCUCUGCAUCUUAUAAGUACCAGCUAGAGCAAUGUAUCACAGUCAAAAAUCCCAAGCUUUAGCUGUAGUUAGUGUCCCAGCGCCUCUGAUGAAGACAAAGAAAUGCUCAAAAGCAAUCUCAAUCAUAAGGGGAAAUUUCCUCCCUGCUGACCAGCAAAAAGCCUUGAUGACAAAACAACUUCCACACUAAAAGUUAUCCCCCCCCCCCCCCAAGGGACUGUAAAACACCAGACUCCACAUUAAUUUGCUGAUGGUUGAGCUAAAGCUUCCUACUGUGAAUUUUUGUCCUGUGGACAGCUUGGCCUUCCAAGCAAAGACCAGGUUCAGAUGCUCCAAACCUAUUCUCAGCUGCCGUCUAAUUUUGUAAAUGCCUGAAUUCCAUAGGCAUAGAUGAAUGCCUGAAUCUCAUACCUGAUUAAGUCUCCUAUGCUACUAAAAGUGCCUCAACUUUGACGUUCCUCAGAAGCUUAGUGUGCCUGUACACAUUGCUGUGGGGCUGCUCCAGCACACUGCAAUUACAGUGCAUCAGAGCAGACUCGAUUAAUCGAUUAGUCUGCUAGAGAGUGGUAAUUACCAUGCUACAUAUUACAGUGUAGGCAACGCAGUUAGUUUGAUACUUGAGCUACCCCAGAUGUUAGAAAGAGCUCAGCAACAGCAACAUGGUUCUUUGUGUGGUAUCAUUUCCCAUGUGCAUUGGCACAGAGCUCCAUGUUGUCAGCAUGGCUAGGUACAAACAUUUGGGGAAGUUAAGGGAAGGUUAGACUGCAUUAAAAACAGCCAUCCAAUCUAACUUGGCUUGCUCAGGUGCAUACCUUACACUUAGAUUGACCUAACUAAGGAUCUAAGUGUGAACAGUACAGGAGUUCAAGAAGGUUAGAUCAGUCUAAAAUUGGCCAACCUGAUCCAAAUUAACUGUACUUCUGGAGGUAGUUAGAUUGGGCUAAGCUAGACCAAUUUAACUGAACUUCUGUAUACUUCUCAGUGUAGCCCCAAGGCUAGGAAAGCCCAGACACUGGCUGCAGCCCCAGUGCUGUGUUUUUUCUACUCACCCCCUUGCACUAGGCUAUUUAAACAUCCUGGCCCCUUGUCCCUUCCCCAGAAGAACAAUCCUUCACCACAGACCAACCAGCCCCACCUAAGCCUGCCAAACUCCCCAGCCUGCAAGCUGAUCCGGAUGCUGGGAGCCAAUUGAAAUAAGUUGGGGUGGGGGGAGAGCUCCCCCAUCCCCCUCAGGGACCUUAUUAGUCCCCCAGAUCCCCCCACAUUCUGCUUGCCCCCUCCAUCUGGUUUCCCAUGGACCUUAUUUGCCUCCCUCAUUUCCCAUGGACCCUGCCACCUGCCCUCCCCAUCUGGACUUACCUUAGAUUAUGUGGCCAUUUUUAAAUUUGACCUAACCUCCCCCAAUGUCAUGUCUCAGAAUUUACCUCCUCUCUGCCCCAGGCUGUCAGAAUUUUUCAUUUUAAAAUAGAAGAAAAAUACAAAAAAUUACUACUUAAAUAUUUACCAAAACCUUUUCCUUACUCAAAGCAAAAGUUUUAUUAACCAGUUCCAAUAAACUGUUAAAAGCAACACUGAAUAUCAAAAUGCUUGAGGAAUUAGACUCAAAAGUAUGUUAAUUCCCAAAAGAAAUUCUCAUUUCCACAGGAUUACUUAGGCAUUUUAAUUAUAAUUGCUUUUCCCUUUCAAAGAAUAAGAAGUUUCAUCAAACUACUCCCUAUAGUCUGGUUAUAGUCUGUUGCAAGUGGACUGUUCAUUUAAUGAAUGAUUAAUAUAUAUCCUUCCACUGAUUCCACACACAAACUAAAAACAUAGAUGGUAUUUCAUUAAAUUCCUCUUUGCAUCUCUAUUGCAUUAUUCCUGCCACCUCAUCUGCACGUCUUACAUCCCUGUCUGCUUAAGAUUUCAUGUGAUUUCAAUUUACAGUAUUUUGAAAUCAAUCAGUAGAAAAAGCAUGUGGCUCCAUGCAAAGGAAACUUCCUCUACUAAGAAUAUUAUUUAUCGAGUCCUUGCAGUUAGUUUUGUUGAGGAAAUUCAGCAUUACAUAUAAUCGAAGAGUGUUAUCUGGCUCAUUUAACCUAAGUGGGAUUUGUUUGUCUUAUAAUUUGACUUCAGGGAAGAAAACAAGCUUGUUGUUCAGUUAUAUAUGGCAACCAUAGAAUUCUCACAUAUCAGCUGGGAUAAUACUAUGCAUUUAUUCUUACAUAUUUUUGGAGCACAUGAGAAUUAUGCUCUGUACUUUAAAAAAAAAAAAAAUAAAGGGCUUCUGCAGAUGCUGCUCUGACAUGCUGUAAUUAUAGCACACCAGAACAGACUUAAUUAAUUAGCAGCCAGCUGAUGCAUGAAACAGAAGCAUCCCUGCACUUCAAAAGUGGCGGGGGUGCUCGACUAAAGCUUGUUGAAUGAACUUUAGUUCAAGCACCCACCCUCAUUUUGAAGCACAGGAAUGCUGAUACUUGAGAUGCUAAAGCAGUUUAAUUAGAGCAGCUCAUGAAGCCACUCCAAUUAAAAGUGCCUGUAUCCCCACCCCUCCACUCCCAAAGCACAUGUAAAAGUGUCCAAGGUGUUCCGUGGUAAUGUGAGGGGUGGUCAUCUUGACUGAGUGAUCAUGGUUGGCAAAAUCCUUAUUUGGGAGGUACAACACACUCUUGCCUCAGCUAUUUUGUGGUUCAGAUAGUAAUUUCUCUUUUAAGAAAAGUAAAAGCCUUUUGUACUUGUGUUUGCAAACAAAGCCUUCCAAAUCUAUACAAAAAAAAAUUUAACUGAUACAACUACCAUUAUAUCUGCCUGAGUUUUCAAGUGGCCUGAAACAAAUCCUCUAAGAGGUAUUAAUUGCUACUAUUCAGCUGAGAAAUGCAUCAACUUAGAUGCCUAUUAUAACAGAUUAAUACUUCUGAAUUGUUUAUUAUGGUCAGAGAAGGCUAAAACACUUAAGAAAGUAAGAGGACCUUGCUAUAAAGAUCUGCACAAUCUAUUGGAGUCCAUGGUAUUCAAGGAAACCUUAACUGGGCCUGGGAACAAAAUUAAUAGCUUUACAUGGAGUAAACUGAAGAGAGUGAUUUGAUGGCUCAUUAGAAUGUACCUGCUCCUUUGCUAACCUCUCCGAACUCUACAAAUUAAUAGCAACCCUGUUAGAUUACAUAUUUUCUGCUACCUUUUGCUUGUUUUGCAACUACUUUAGAAAAUUUUUUUUGUUCCAUGAGUUUACUGGCCUCCUGGAUUUCUUUAAAGAGACUUUUCAUAUAAUGGAGUUAAACAAAAGUUAUUGUUAUACCUGAUACUUAACUUUAGAGAAAAGCAGAUACAACCAAUCUGGGAAAGAUGGCACUUCAUCUCCAAAACUUGGUCUAACAUGUCUCUUUGGCUAUACAGUUAAAACCCAAUAAAGAAUACCAAAGAAACUUUGCUUCUUCAUAUUCCAUGGACUAUCAUAGCUACAAACAUGCUUCUACAUCUUCACUGGCAAAGUUACUGUGCUAGCUAAACUAAGCUGACUUGACUACACUCUCAUGUACUGCAAAUCACACCUUCAUGUUAUUGUGUAGAUAUAACACAAAUCUAUGUAUUCAACUGCAGUACAGUGUCCUGCUUUUAUCAGUGUGUUGUUGUGUCAUUAAAAAGACUUGACUAUAGCACAUUUAA